This 471-nucleotide ribosomal RNA is filed under the name Enterococcus faecium. RNAcentral describes it as "bacterial SSU rRNA". It matches the Rfam family "Bacterial small subunit ribosomal RNA", at positions 101 to 558 of the family's 1533-position model. The record is from RNAcentral. Lineage: Bacteria; Bacillati; Bacillota; Bacilli; Lactobacillales; Enterococcaceae.
AACGGGUGAGUAACACGUGGGUAACCUGCCCAUCAGAAGGGGAUAACACUUGGAAACAGGUGCUAAUACCGUAUAACAAUCAAAACCGCAUGGUUUUGAUUUGAAAGGCGCUUUCGGGUGUCGCUGAUGGAUGGACCCGCGGUGCAUUAGCUAGUUGGUGAGGUAACGGCUCACCAAGGCCACGAUGCAUAGCCGACCUGAGAGGGUGAUCGGCCACAUUGGGACUGAGACACGGCCCAAACUCCUACGGGAGGCAGCAGUAGGGAAUCUUCGGCAAUGGACGAAAGUCUGACCGAGCAACGCCGCGUGAGUGAAGAAGGUUUUCGGAUCGUAAAACUCUGUUGUUAGAGAAGAACAAGGAUGAGAGUAACUGUUCAUCCCUUGACGGUAUCUAACCAGAAAGCCACGGCUAACUACGUGCCAGCAGCCGCGGUAAUACGUAGGUGGCAAGCGUUGUCCGGAUUUAUUGGG